Molecule: long non-coding RNA, 331 nt
Organism: Onychomys torridus (southern grasshopper mouse)
Lineage: Eukaryota; Metazoa; Chordata; Mammalia; Rodentia; Cricetidae
Exons: 2
Source: RefSeq, a predicted model, not a curated record
AGCAAGAAAGGAUAUUAAAUGAAGCCCAAAGCAUGUCUUGAACUUCCCAGAGGUCCACAUCCCCAGAAGAGAACCUGCUCUCAACAGGGAGACAAUAAUGGAUGGGCACAAGCAGACUGAUAUGGCUCAGAGAAAACUUUCUGAAAUCAGAGGGAGGAGGGAUUGAUCAUUGGCAUUUUAAUGAGGCCCAGAAUUUUCCUCCAGAGAACUUCCCCCAGCAUAUUACGCAGCUUUGGAAACAAACACUAGCUCCAGUUGUGUGGCCUGAAAAAAAUAGUGUGGUCCUAAAGGAAACCAAUGUACCCUAGGGGAUACAGUGAGUCUGUGCUAG